CCAAUAGCGUAUAUUAAAGUUGUUGCAGUUAAAAAGCUCGUAGUUGAAUUUCGGGGUCAGUAGGUUGGUCAUGCCACUGGUAUGUACUGGUCUCACUGAUUCCUCCUUCCUGAUGAACUGUAAUGCCAUUAAUUUGGUGUUGCAGGGAAUCUGGACUGUUACUUUGAAAAAAUUAGAGUGUUUAAAGCAGGCUAACGCCUGAAUACAUUAGCAUGGAAUAAUGAAAUAGGACGUUCGAUCCUAUUUUGUUGGUUUCUAGGAUUGACGUAAUGAUUAAUAGGGAUAGUUGGGGGCAUUAGUAUUCAAUUGUCAGAGGUGAAAUUCUUGGAUUUAUUGAAGACUAACUACUGCGAAAGCAUUUGCCAAGGAUGUUUUCAUUAAUCAAGAACAAAAGUUAGGGGAUCGAAGACGAUCAGAUACCGUCGUAGUCUUAACCAUAAACUAUGCCGACUAGGGAUCGGAUGAUGUUAAUUUUUUAAUGACUCAUUCGGCGCCUUACA
RNAcentral lists this ribosomal RNA (500 nucleotides) under uncultured Glomeromycotina. Its description in RNAcentral is "partial small subunit ribosomal RNA". It matches the Rfam family "Eukaryotic small subunit ribosomal RNA", at positions 591 to 1092 of the family's 1831-position model. The record is from RNAcentral. Lineage: Eukaryota; Fungi; Glomeromycota.